This 810-nucleotide ribosomal RNA is filed under the name uncultured Verrucomicrobiota bacterium. RNAcentral's name for it is "bacterial SSU rRNA". It matches the Rfam family "Bacterial small subunit ribosomal RNA", at positions 67 to 859 of the family's 1533-position model. The record is from RNAcentral. Lineage: Bacteria; Pseudomonadati; Verrucomicrobiota.
UUUUUUCCUGUAGCAAUACAGGGAAAAGUCUAGCGGCGAACGGGUGUUUAACACGUGGGCAAUCUGCCGAGAAGUGGGGGAUAGCUCGCCGAAAGGCGAAUUAAUACCGCAUGUGAUCAGAGUGGACAUCCAUUCAAAAUCAAAGUCGGGGCAACCUGACGCUUCUUGAGGAGCCCGCGGCCUAUCAGCUAGUUGGUGAGGUAACGGCCCACCAAGGCUUAGACGGGUAGCUGGUCUGAGAGGACGACCAGCCACACUGGGACUGAGACACGGCCCAGACACCUACGGGUGGCAGCAGUCGAGAAUUUUUCUCAAUGGGGGAAACCCUGAAGGAGCGACGCCGCGUGGAGGAUGAAGGUCUUCGGAUUGUAAACUCCUGUCAUUGGGGAACAAUGCGUAAAUAUUAACUGUAUUUGCGUUGAUAGUACCCGAAGAGGAAGGGACGGCUAACUCUGUGCCAGCAGCCGCGGUAAUACAGAGGUCCCAAGCGUUGUUCGGAUUCAUUGGGCGUAAAGGGUGCGUAGGCGGCGCGGUAAGUCGGGUGUGAAAUCUCGGAGCUUAACUCCGAAACUGCAUUCGAUACUGCCGUGCUUGAGGACUGGAGAGGAGACUGGAAUUUACGGUGUAGCGGUGAAAUGCGUAGAUAUCGUAAGGAAGACCAGUGGCGAAGGCGGGUCUCUGGACAGUUCCUGACGCUGAGGCACGAAGGCCAGGGGAGCAAACGGGAUUAGAUACCCCGGUAGUCCUGGCAGUAAACGGUGCACGUUUGGUGUGGGAGGAUUCGACCCCUUCUGCGCCGGAGCUAACGCG